GGGGACGUACAGUAAUGUCAUGAACUGGUGAGUAAUUCCUUGAUUAAGCAAUACCACCUAGGGAUAGGGGUAGGACGAUCAAUUGUUUUUUACUUCUGCUCUAUAAUGCUUUAUUAAUUGCUAGGGGAGGCUAGGGAUAGCAAGCCAGUAAUUAGUAAUAGGCUAUUUUCGCCGAGGGAUCGGGUUAAGGAUAGGCUAAGAAAGUUGCAUGACAAUUAACUAAUCAAGCUUAUAAAUCAAGAAGAGUAAAUAAGAGAGAGCGGAUAAGAUGAAAUUGUAAACCCCCAACAACUCCAUUCAUCCAUGGUUUUCUUCUUGUCAAUUGAAUCAAUCUCUUUU
Molecule: long non-coding RNA, 339 nt
Filed under: Vigna radiata
Lineage: Eukaryota; Viridiplantae; Streptophyta; Magnoliopsida; Fabales; Fabaceae
Description: long non-coding RNA (VRAD_LNC011974)
Source: RNAcentral